This 71-nucleotide transfer RNA is filed under the name Gemmataceae bacterium. RNAcentral's name for it is "tRNA-Arg". It matches the Rfam family "tRNA". Rfam says of the family: Transfer RNA (tRNA) molecules are approximately 80 nucleotides in length. Their secondary structure includes four short double-helical elements and three loops (D, anti-codon, and T loops). RNAcentral also lists the same sequence under 1 other name. Lineage: Bacteria; Pseudomonadati; Planctomycetota; Planctomycetia; Gemmatales; Gemmataceae. The record is from RNAcentral.
GCCCCGGUGGUGAAACGGAAUCACUCCUCGGUCCUAACGAGACGUUCCGGGUUCGACUCCUGGUCGGGGUA